AACUUUCAGCAAUGGAUCACUUGGCUCCAGCAUCGAUGAAGAACGUAGCGAAACGCGAUAUGUAAUGUGAAUUGCAGAAUUCAGUGAAUCAUCGAAUCUUUGAACGCACAUGGCGCCUUCCAGUAUCCUGGGAGGCAUGCCUGUCCGAGCGUCGUUUCAACCCUCGAGCCCCCGUGGCCCGGCGUUGGGGAUCUGCCACGGCAGGCCCCUAAAACCAGUGGCGGACCCGAAAGGCCCUCUCCUUUGCGCAGUAGCAUCAGCCUCGCAUCGGGAGCCCUCGGCGUCCUGCCUCUAAACCCCACACAAGCCCGCUCCGGCGGCACCAAGGUUGACCUCGGAUCAGGUAGGAAUACCCGCUGAACUUAAGCAUAUCAAUAAGCGGAGGCU
This 387-nucleotide unclassified non-coding RNA is filed under the name uncultured Plectosphaerella. Its description in RNAcentral is "sequence contains ITS2". The stretch from base 1 to 154 matches the Rfam family "5.8S ribosomal RNA". Lineage: Eukaryota; Fungi; Ascomycota; Sordariomycetes; Glomerellales; Plectosphaerellaceae. The record is from RNAcentral.